Molecule: ribosomal RNA, 465 nt
Filed under: uncultured bacterium
Lineage: Bacteria
Description: partial 16S ribosomal RNA
Rfam family: Bacterial small subunit ribosomal RNA
Source: RNAcentral
CUACGGGUUGCAGCAGUGGGGAAUAUUGGACAAUGGGGGAAACCCUGAUCCAGCAAUGCCGCGUGUGUGAAGAAGGCCUGCGGGUUGUAAAGCACUUUCGGUUGGGAGGACUGCUUCUAGCACUAAUAUUGUUGGAAGUUGACGUUACCUUCAGAAGAAGCACCGGCUAACUCCGUGCCAGCAGCCGCGGUAAUACGGAGGGUGCAAGCGUUAAUCGGAAUUACUGGGCGUAAAGCGCGCGUAGGCGGCUAGAUCAGUCGGGUGUGAAAGCCCCGGGCUUAACCUGGGAACUGCAUCCGAUACUGUCUAGCUUGAGUACAGGAGGGGAGAGUGGAAUUCCACAUGUAGCGGUGAAAUGCGUAGAUAUGUGGAGGAACACCAAUGGCGAAGGCAGCUCUCUGGCCUGAUACUGACGCUGAGGUGCGAAAGCGUGGGGAGCAAUCAGGAUUAGAUACCCCUGUAGUC